ACGGGUGCGGAACACGUACGCAACCUUCCUUCAAGUGGGGGAUAGCCCGGGGAAACCCGGAUUAAUACCCCGUAAUACUGUGAGAUGGCAUCAUCUUACACUUAUAGCUCCGGCGCUUGAAGAUGGGCGUGCGCCUGAUUAGGUAGUUGGCGGGGUAACGGCCCACCAAGCCUUCGAUCAGUAACUGGUGUGAGAGCACGACCAGUCACACGGGCACUGAGACACGGGCCCGACUCCUACGGGAGGCAGCAGUAAGGAAUAUUGGUCAAUGGACGCAAGUCUGAACCAGCCAUGCCGCGUGGAGGAUGAAGGUCCUCUGGAUUGUAAACUUCUUUUAUCUGGGAAGAAACCCACGGUUUCUACUGUGGUUGACGGUACCAGAUGAAUAAGCACCGGCUAACUCCGUGCCAGCAGCCGCGGUAAUACGGAGGGUGCAAGCGUUAUCCGGAUUCACUGGGUUUAAAGGGUGCGUAGGUGGGUUGGUAAGCCAGUGGUGAAAUCUCCGAGCUUAACUUGGAAACUGCCGUUGAUACUAUCAAUCUUGAAUAUCGCGUAGGUAAGCGGAAUAUGUCAUGUAGCGGU
RNAcentral lists this ribosomal RNA (582 nucleotides) under uncultured bacterium. Its description in RNAcentral is "bacterial SSU rRNA". It matches the Rfam family "Bacterial small subunit ribosomal RNA", at positions 102 to 682 of the family's 1533-position model. The record is from RNAcentral.